CACGUAGGGGCCGAGCGUUGUCCGGAUUCAUUGGGCGUAAAGCGCGCGUAGGCGGCUCGGAAAGUCGGUCGUGAAAUGCCGGGGCUCAACCCCGGGACUGCGUCCGAUACUUCCGGGCUGGAGGUAGGUAGGGGAGAUCGGAAUUCCUGGUGUAGCGGUGAAAUGCGCAGAUAUCAGGAGGAACACCGGUGGCGAAGGCGGAUCUCUGGGCCGUACCUGACGCUGAGGCGCGAAAGCUAGGGGAGCGAACAGG
Molecule: ribosomal RNA, 253 nt
Filed under: uncultured bacterium
Lineage: Bacteria
Description: partial 16S ribosomal RNA
Rfam family: Bacterial small subunit ribosomal RNA
Source: RNAcentral